Molecule: ribosomal RNA, 398 nt
Filed under: Tolypothrix rechingeri VB521294
Lineage: Bacteria; Bacillati; Cyanobacteriota; Cyanophyceae; Nostocales; Tolypothrichaceae
Description: bacterial SSU rRNA
Rfam family: Bacterial small subunit ribosomal RNA
Source: RNAcentral
CCCCUUGGGGGAAUUUUCCGCAAUGGGCGAAAGCCUGACGGAGCAAUACCGCGUGAGGGAGGAAGGCUCUUGGGUUGUAAACCUCUUUUCUCAGGGAAUAAAAAAAUGAAGGUACCUGAGGAAUCAGCAUCGGCUAACUCCGUGCCAGCAGCCGCGGUAAUACGGAGGAUGCAAGCGUUAUCCGGAAUGAUUGGGCGUAAAGGGUCUGCAGGUGGUUUGUCAAGUCUGCUGUCAAAGCGUCUGGCUCAACUAGAUAAAGGCAGUGGAAACUGAGAGACUGGAGUAUGGUAGGGGUAGAGGGAAUUCCCGGUGUAGCGGUGAAAUGCGUAGAGAUCGGGAAGAACACCGGUGGCGAAAGCGCUCUGCUGGACCAUAACUGACACUGAGAGACGAAUGUU